GAAUUUAUAGGUUUUACCCGAGUUACAAAAUUCAGCUACAAGAAGUGAGUGUCCUGUGCAGCAGACACUAGAGCGAGGGCCUGGCGGCCUCUCGGGAGCUAUUUCCAUCCCACGGCAGUGAAACGUAUCCUUACUUCAGCUGCGGCCAGUGAUGUCACCUCCAUCAGGUUCACUGCUCGGAAAGCAAACACAGCAGCUGCCAGCACUGGAAAAGAAUGCACAGUAUUUCAACUGCUGGCCUCCUCCACAGCCCGGACACACAUGCUCUGCCCACAGCCACCGCAGACAGCAGAAGGAGUGUGCAGCGCAGCUGUUCCUGCCCUCUGCCUUCAGGAGGCAUCGUAAGUGGGACAUCUAUUCUGGAGAACAGCGCCUGGCCACUUCACGGAUUGAGCAGCUGUGAAAGUCUGACAGGAUGUCCAAAUAUUUGCUGCAGCAGGAAAGAGUCCUAGAUGGUGGCCAGCUGUGCGACCGAAGGUAGCGGAGUCCACUGAUUGAACUCAGCAUCCAGAUGGGAGCGCAGAGCCUUUAUUUAUCCUGGUGUCACAUCACACAAGUGCCUUUCUGCUUGCUUCAUGUUGAGUUUGUCCAGCCCCUCUGUACAGAACAGAGUGGCUUGCCAUGGAGAGAGGAGCUAUACUUUGGAGCAUCCUUAACUGAAGUCAAGCUGCAUAUGAAAUGUGGAAAUGGCUGUGUUCACUUUGGGUUUUUACAACUAUUCUCACUACUUUAAUCUUAAUAAACUCUAUCAUGACAUCAA
Long non-coding RNA from Myodes glareolus (Bank vole), 760 nucleotides. RefSeq lists it as uncharacterized. Lineage: Eukaryota; Metazoa; Chordata; Mammalia; Rodentia; Cricetidae. The record is from RefSeq and is a predicted model, not a curated record.